Molecule: unclassified non-coding RNA, 296 nt
Filed under: Hevea brasiliensis (rubber tree)
Lineage: Eukaryota; Viridiplantae; Streptophyta; Magnoliopsida; Malpighiales; Euphorbiaceae
Source: RNAcentral
AUUGUCAUAUGUGAACUUUUAGACAAUGAAUGAGCCAUAUCCUAUGUGGUUCAUGGAAGGUGCGGCGGAAAACAAGAAAACAAGAAGCAAGUGGAUUUAAGCAAGUGGAUUCUAGUCUAUAUCAAGUUGCUUGUCCUGCAAUCAUGGAUCCAAAGCAGUUGCUCAUAAGUUGAUUUGGAGAUAUAAGAUUAGAGUCGUUAACAAACUUUAGGAACCCAAAGUAACUCAUUUUAAAACAACAGGAUUGAAUGCAGAUAUUAUGCAAAACAGAAGGGGUUCAUAGUAAUAUACCCAUA